This 164-nucleotide small nuclear RNA is filed under the name Echinops telfairi (small Madagascar hedgehog). RNAcentral's name for it is "U1 spliceosomal RNA (ENSETEG00000021425.1)". It matches the Rfam family "U1 spliceosomal RNA". Rfam says of the family: U1 is a small nuclear RNA (snRNA) component of the spliceosome (involved in pre-mRNA splicing). Lineage: Eukaryota; Metazoa; Chordata; Mammalia; Afrosoricida; Tenrecidae. The record is from RNAcentral.
AGACUUACCUAGCAGGAGAGACACCAUGAUCAGGAAGGUGGUUUUCCCAGGGCGAGGCUUAUCCAUUGCACUUGGGAUGUGCUGACUCCUGUGAUUUCCCCAAAUGCGGGAAACUUGACUGCAUAAUUUGUGGUAGUGGGGGACUGCAUUCACGAUUUCCCCUG